GUCCUCCACCAACACAAGGGGGAUCUGCCCCUACUCACCCACCGCCACCAACCUACAUUGUUCUCCACUGUCCACCACCGCCUUGCUGCUGCUGCCCCCAUGGAUGAUCGUCAUCCGCAUCCGCACCGGGACACAAGUCUUGUUCACCAUCAUCACUUGAAGGUCGCAGAUGCACCCAUACAUGAUGAUGAUCAUCACUUGAAGGUCGCAGAUGCACCCAUACAUGAUGAUGAUCAUCACUUGAAGGUCGCAGAUGCACCCAUACAUGAUGAUGAUCAUCACUUGAAGGUCGCAGAUGCACCCAUACAUGAUGAUGAUCAUCACUUGAAGGUCGCAGAUGCACCCAUACAUGAUGAUGAUCAUCACUUGAAGCUCCUAGAUGCCACCGCCCCUCCAACCCCAAGGGAUCACGCCAUUGCUGCUGCUGCUGCCCACCAACAACAAGAGUUGCCCACCCAUGGGCUGCCAACCGGAUCAACCCGGGAUAAUCGUGCUGUCCAACCUCAGGAGGUGCAGCUGGAGCAAGGGGUCGUUGCUCUUGCUGGAGUUGGUCUAGCCACACAAGAUGACACUGCUGUUGACCGGGAUGCAACCAUACAUGAUCAUAAUUAUGCCAUUGCUGUCGAUGCUCAUCAUCAGGAGCAGGUGAAGCCACUGCUGGAGCAAUGCACUAGCACCUCUACCUCUUGUGAAGAUUUGGGAACACCAGCCAUGGACAAUGAUGAUGACGCGGUGCAACUUCAAGAGGUGAUGGAGCAGCAACAUGCCACCCACCCAAGGGAUGAAUAUAUUGCUGCUGAGGAACAAUCAGAGAUGUUGGAUCGUGAGCUGGGAUCAACUGAGAAGGCUGAUGCUGUGCCAGUUCAAGAGGCGGCGGAGCAAGGUCUCGUUGGCACAGAUGGUGAAAGCGCAGAUGCCACUGCUGUUGAUGGCCAUGACAUGGCAGUGGAGCAAUGCGUCACUUGUCAUGACUUGGGAACAACCACGGAGAACGAUGGUGCCAAGGAUGAUCAGGAGCAAGGUGUCAUUGACCAAGGGGAUGCGGCCAUAGAUGGUGACAAUGAUGUCAAACAUCACAAGGUGCUGGUGCCAGGUGCCGUGGAAGGAACACACACUUCCUCAGAUGACAUUGCUGUUGAGGAUCAAGGAAAGAAUGUGGAGCAAUGUACCACUUAUGACGUCUUGGGAACAACCAUGAAGAAUGAUGAUGCUAUUGCUGUGGAUGACCAGCAGGUGGUGGAGCAAGGUGUUGUCGAUUUAACCACCAUUGAUGAUGAUCCUUCUGUCGAAGAACAAGAGGUGGUGGAGCAAGGUGUUGUCGAUUUAACCACCAUGGAUGAUGAUCCUUCUGUCGAAGAACAAGAGGUGGUGGAGCAAGGUGUCGUCGAUUUAACCACCAUGGAUGAUGAUCCUUCUGUCGAAGAUCAUGAGGUGUUGCAGCAAGGUAUCAUUGGUGGAACCGUUGACAUUGCUGUUCAAAAGCAAGAGAAGCCUCUGGAGCAAUGUUCAAGAGCAACUAAGGACGAGUACACCGCCAAAGAAAAGGAAAUGGUGGUGGAGCAAGGUGUCAUUGACCCAAAGUACAUGGAUAUUGCCAUGGAAGAUCAGGAUAAGUUGUUGAUCAUAGACGACCAGGAUACAGUGCCCAUGGAUGAUAUUGUGGUGAAAGACCAUGAUAAGGCAGUGGUGGAAUAUGCCAGUGAUGCAAUAGUCUCAAUCAAGGAUGAGAGUCCUGUGGAGGAACAUGAUACGGUGGGGAGUCAAGGUGUCAUCGAUAAAAAUGGCAGAACCAAGGAUGAUAUUGAUGUCGAGGGACAUGGCUAUGUAAAGGAACUGGUCAUCAUUGAUAAAUGGGGUACAUCCAGUGAUGCUGCUGCUUUGGAAGGUCAGAAGAAUGAGACUGAGCCAUGCAUUGGUGAUGAGCAGAUAGCAGGCAAGGACAUGGAUGGUGUUCAUGCUGAGGCGAACAUGUUGGAGCAAAUGACCGGGGAUAAACAGGGAGCAACACUGUCUGAUUUCGCUGUUGAUAAGCACAAGGAUGUAGUGGAGCGUGUCCGCCAUGAGUGGGGUGCACCUGAGAAUGAUCUUGCUAUGGACACGGCAGCUUACCAAGGUACCAGAGAUUGGGGUAUAGUUAACAAGGAGAAGUAUAGGGCGCCUGCUAGAAGAUAUCCACAAAAGCCCAGAAAACUUAACUGCCCCUCUUACAUGUCAAAAGGGACCUGCACAUACGGGCCCUCAUGCCACUUCAAUCACCCACCGCAGUUUAACGCUAAGACAAAUGAUUCAUGGCGUCCCUCUGAACGAAGAGAUCAUGGCGCUGCAGAAAUUCUGGAACUGAACCGCCUUGGCCUUCCCAUUCGAGAAGGAGCAAGAAACUGUGACUACUACAUGCGAACUGGUGCUUGCAGAUAUGGCAAAAACUGUCAUUUUAACCAUCCAGACCAUGUCAUUGAUGCUCGGUUCAGUUCACCAACAGGGUGGGAGGAUAAUGCUUUGGAAACGGAGAAAUCUUCUGACCAUGCAUUAACUGAGGCAUCACACAUGAAGAAAGCUUCCGAUGAUGCGACCUUAAAUGACAGAUCACACUUGAAGAAAUCUUCCGAUGGUGCGACCUUAGAUGACAGAUCACACUUGAAUAAAUCUUCCGAUAAUGCGACCUUAGACGACAGAUCACACUUGAAGAGAUCUUCUGAUGGUGCGACCGUAGAUGACACAUCAUACUCAAAGAAGUCUUCUGACCAUGACACGUCAUCUACCUCCGGUGUCCUGCCACCAAGCAUAUUUAGAAUGCUUCUACCUCCCCAAAAAGUACUGCCUAGUACGGAAGGAAAGGCGAAAAAGAAGUCAGAUUGGUCAUCUGCUUCAGAUGAUUCCGAUGGUUGCUGUUCAGCAGAUAGCUCAGAUGGACCUUUGUGCAAGCAGGAGGAGCACGUGGAUUACCCCGAGAGGCCUGGCAGACAAGAAUGCCCCUUCCUUGCGAGGUAUGGUGAUUGCAAGUUUGCUUCAGCAUGCAAAUAUCACCACCCAAAACAGUCAAAAGAUAAAGAACAGGUAAACUAUCCUGAGAGGCCUGGCAGACCAGAUUGCCCCUUCUACAUGAGAUUUGGUGAUUGUAAAUUUGCAUCAGCGUGCAACUAUCACCACCCGAAAGAUAAAUAUCCAACCGGGUUACCUGAGGAACCAGAAUGCCCAUUCUAUAUGAAGCGUGGGUUCUGUAAGUUUGGGGCACAAUGUAAGUUCUAUCACCCAGAGGAUGCAAAUCCUACCAUGCAGAGCCCAACAGAUGCAAAAAUAUCUGUUACCAUGGAUAAACAUCAUCCAUCUACAAGAAUCACACCAGAAGACCAUGUGCCCCAGCAACCGCAGUAUCCUGAGAGAAGAUCUGUUACCACUGAUGAUCAUCAUCCAUCUAUAAGAAUUACCCCAGAAGUUCUGCCCCAGCAGCCGCAGUAUCCUGAGAGACCUGGUCAGCCAGACUGCCGGUACUACAUGCAGUUUGGGAAGUGCAAAUAUCUGUCUGCAUGUAUAUUUCACCAUCCAAAAGAUAGACUUGCAGCUAUGUGGAGUCCCUCAGAUCCAGCUCACUCUGAUCAGAUUGGACCUAAAAUACAUGGCAUGCCAGACUGCCCUUUCUAUAUGAAGUCUGGGAAAUGUCAAUUUGGGUCGCUAUGUGAAUUUCGUCAUCCCAAAGAUAUAUAUUCAACUACAGAGGAAGCAUUUGGUGAGAGGACUGGCUCAGGUGCAUACGACAGUUUGACAAGGUCAGAUAAUGGUGUGGAGCAACAAGAAGGGAGCGUCAUGUAUCCUGAAAGGCCUGGUGAACCCGAGUGUGCCCACUACAUGAGGCAGGGCUACUGUAAGUUUCAGAUGAACUGCAAGUACCAUCAUCCAGGAGACCGUCUGUCUAAGAAACCGUAUUACGACUCGACUUGCUACUGAACUCGUCCGCACCGGCCACUUGAGCAAAGCAGGGACACGCUGGUUACCGCACGAAUGCUACCAACGGCGAGCAGCAUUGUCUUGAUGUGUGACCAGGUGGUGUUAGAGCAGGCUGGCUCAAGGAGGCGGUGCGUGUGAGUGUGUCUGAUGACUGAAGAGGAGAGAGUAGGAGGAUUCUGAUGAACCAGAGCCUGUAGCUAAUAUAAUCGUGGUCGUUUUUUGGGGAUUCAUGUCCGCUUUGAGCGCGUUUGAGCUGUGUUGCUAUCGGUUAUGCGCUCGCAGCAUACUACUGUAUUUGUGCGGAGCAGGCAAUCAUGAAUUGCGAACUGUGAUGUUGGCAUGACUUGAAGUGAUUUCUGUCUAGCUAGCUAGCAAGCAAGGUGUAGCAUGAACACCGAUGAGAUGAGAUUACUCCUUUUAUAUAGUUUGACACUUGAACGAA
RNA transcript from Hordeum vulgare subsp. vulgare (domesticated barley), 4384 nucleotides. RefSeq lists it as uncharacterized. Lineage: Eukaryota; Viridiplantae; Streptophyta; Magnoliopsida; Poales; Poaceae. The record is from RefSeq and is a predicted model, not a curated record. The transcript is spliced from 7 exons.